This is a long non-coding RNA of Culicoides brevitarsis, 801 nucleotides long. RefSeq lists it as uncharacterized. Lineage: Eukaryota; Metazoa; Arthropoda; Insecta; Diptera; Ceratopogonidae. The record is from RefSeq and is a predicted model, not a curated record. The transcript is spliced from 3 exons.
AUACAAAAUUCGAAUGUCCACAAGCUGAAUAUCAAUAUGAAGAAAUUUUAGAAAAUCUUCUUCAUCCAAACAAGUGUGAUUGUAGAAGCUUUUACAGUUGUGACCACGUCGGAAAUUUCUUCCUGAAUAACUGUCCUAAAGGAUUACUUUUUAAUGCCAAUAAAUCCGUAUGUGAUUGGCCAAAAAAUGCAGGAUGUAAAUUAGAUGUCAACUAUGAGCAUUGUGAAGAGAUCAAAGAAGAAAAACCUGUGGAGCAAAAAAAGGAAAAAAGUGUAGAGCCAAAAGAAGACAUCAAGAGUAAAGUAAAGAACAAACUGAAGACGGUUUAGUUCAAGACAAAAAAAAAUAUUUCGUAAUUAAAAUUGUUUUAAAAUAAUUCACGUUCGAUAAAAUUCUUUCAUUUCCUAUAAAAGCUCGUUCAUCACAAAAUUUUAGCUUAGUAUCAACUUAUCAUCAUCAAAAAUGAAACUUAAAAUACUUUUCCUAAUAUUUUGUUUCACUAUCGCUUGCGAUUGUAACAAAAAUCGUAAACAUAUUGACAAAAACGCUGUCGGAAAAUGCCCACCUAAAAAUCAUCACGGAGUAAAUGUUCUUCUGCCUCAUCGUUGUGAUUGCACAAAAUAUUUCUUGUGCGAUCAUGGAGUCCCAAUUUUGAAGAAAUGUUCGCCGCCACAUUUUUUUAAUCCAGAAAAACAGUAUUGCGAUUUUAAAGAAAAUGUGGUUUGUAAAAAAGGAAAAGGUUGUAAAUGAAUUUUAAUUAAAGAUGCCAUCCUCACCAAUUAAUUAAAAAUAAAAAAAUGG